UUCUCGCCAUUGCCAAACCAGGGC
This 24-nucleotide microRNA is filed under the name Brachypodium distachyon (stiff brome). RNAcentral's name for it is "bdi-miR7733-5p". Lineage: Eukaryota; Viridiplantae; Streptophyta; Magnoliopsida; Poales; Poaceae. The record is from miRBase by way of RNAcentral.